Molecule: small nuclear RNA, 141 nt
Organism: Saimiri boliviensis boliviensis (Bolivian squirrel monkey)
Lineage: Eukaryota; Metazoa; Chordata; Mammalia; Primates; Cebidae
Gene: U4
Rfam family: U4 spliceosomal RNA
About the family: U4 small nuclear RNA (U4 snRNA) is a component of the major U2-dependent spliceosome.
Source: Ensembl
AGCUUUGUGCAAUGGCAGUAUUGUAGCCAAUGAGGUUUAUCUGAGGCCCGAUUAUUGCUAACUGAAAACUUUUCCCAAUGCCCCACCAUGACAACUUGAAUUAUAGUCGGCAUUGGCAAUUUUUGACAGUCUCUACAGAGA